GAUGAAGAACGUAGCGAAAUGCGAUAAGUAGUGUGAAUUGCAGAAUUCAGUGAAUCAUCGAAUCUUUGAACGCACAUUGCGCCCUUUGGUAUUCCUUAGGGCAUGCCUGUUCGGGCGUCAUUUAAACCUUCAAGCUCAGCUUGGUGUUGGGUGACUGUCCGCCGCCUCCGGGCGGUCGGACUCGCCUCAAAUUGAUUGGCGGCCGGUACUUUGGCUUCGAGCGCAGCAGAAACGCGAACUCGAGGCCGUCGUCCUGGCUCCCAGAAGCUAUCUUCACAAUUUUGACCUCGGAUCAGGUAGGGAUACCCGCUGAACUUAAGCAUAUCAAUAAGCGGAGGA
This 339-nucleotide unclassified non-coding RNA is filed under the name soil metagenome. RNAcentral describes it as "partial contains 5.8S ribosomal RNA, internal transcribed spacer 2, and large subunit ribosomal RNA". The stretch from base 1 to 120 matches the Rfam family "5.8S ribosomal RNA", at positions 35 to 154 of the family's 154-position model. The record is from RNAcentral.